RNAcentral lists this ribosomal RNA (253 nucleotides) under uncultured bacterium. Its description in RNAcentral is "partial 16S ribosomal RNA". It matches the Rfam family "Bacterial small subunit ribosomal RNA", at positions 524 to 776 of the family's 1533-position model. The record is from RNAcentral.
UACGAAGGGGGCUAGCGUUGCUCGGAAUCACUGGGCGUAAAGCGCACGUAGGCGGCUUGUUAAGUCAGGGGUGAAAUCCUGGAGCUCAACUCCAGAACUGCCUUUGAUACUGGCGAGCUUGAGUCCGGGAGAGGUGAGUGGAACUGCGAGUGUAGAGGUGAAAUUCGUAGAUAUUCGCAAGAACACCAGUGGCGAAGGCAGCUCACUGGUCCGGUACUGACGCUGAUGUGCGAAAGCGUGGGGAGCAAACAGG